Molecule: unclassified non-coding RNA, 156 nt
Organism: Chelonoidis abingdonii (Abingdon island giant tortoise)
Lineage: Eukaryota; Metazoa; Chordata; Testudines; Testudinidae
Source: Ensembl
GUGACAGGUCUGUAGACUGAAGUCUUCUCUUUAGCCAUACAACAGAUACAGUACAGGCAGCAUCAGUGCAAGCUUCCUCCAGCUCUACGUGGAGAGUCUAUUCCUAGGAGUGAGAAAGUAGUUUGGUCCCUAUAUCUAUUCAGUCCUUUAUCUGUU